RNAcentral lists this non-coding RNA (27 nucleotides) under Homo sapiens (human). The record is from RNAcentral. Lineage: Eukaryota; Metazoa; Chordata; Mammalia; Primates; Hominidae.
UGAGCAGAAGCUACUAUGUCCUGCCCU